GUGCUCGGUUCAGCAGCACAUGUACUAAAAUUGGAAUGAUACAAAGAAGAUUUAUAUGGCCCCGGUGCAAGGAUGGCACGCAAAUUCGUGAAGUAUCCUAUAUUUUU
Molecule: small nuclear RNA, 107 nt
Organism: Otolemur garnettii (small-eared galago)
Lineage: Eukaryota; Metazoa; Chordata; Mammalia; Primates; Galagidae
Source: Ensembl